AGGAUAAUAGUUAAAUUAACGUUUAAAUUGCAAUUAAAAAAUACUAUAAAUAGUUUAUCUUA
RNAcentral lists this transfer RNA (62 nucleotides) under Cucujoidea sp. 4 KM-2017. RNAcentral describes it as "tRNA-Ala". Lineage: Eukaryota; Metazoa; Arthropoda; Insecta; Coleoptera. The record is from RNAcentral.